UCUAAAUGGUGUCAAGUUAGGAAAAGGGGAAGUACAACGAGAUCUAGGUGCUCUUGUACAUCAGUCACGGACAGUAAGCAUGCAGGUACAGCAGGCAGUGAAGAAAGCUAAUGGCAUGUUGGCCUUCAUAACAAGACGAUUUGAGUAUAGAGGCAAAGAGGUCCUUCCGCAGUUGUACAGGGCCCUGGUGAGACCCCACCUGGAGUAUUGUGUGAAGUUCUGGUCUCCAAAUUUGAGGAAGGACAUUCUUGCUAUUGAGGGAGUGGAGCGUAGGUUCACGAGGUUAAUUCCCGGAAUGGCGGGACUGUCAUAUGUUGAAAGAUUGGAGAGACUGGGCUUGUAUACACUGGAAUUUAGAAGGAUGAGAGGGGAUCCGAUUGAGCAUAUAAGAUUAUUAACUGAUUGGACAUGCUAGAGGCAGGAAAAAUGUUCCGGAUGUUGGGGGAGUCUAGAACCAGAGGCCACAGUUUAAGAAUAAGGGGUAGGCCAUUUAGAACGGAGUUGAGGAAAAACUUUUUCACCCAGAGAGUGGUGGAUAUGUGGAAUGCUCUGCCCCAGAAGGCAGUGGAGGCCAAUUCUCUGGAUGCUUUCAAGAAAGAUAGAGCUCUUAAAGAUAGCGGAGCCCUGGGAUAUGGGGAGAGGGCAGGAAAGGGGUAUUGAUUGUGGAUGAUCAGCCAGGAUUACAUUGAAUGGCGGUGCUGGUUCAAAGGGCUGAAUGGCCGACUCCUGCACCUAUAGUCUAUUGUUUCAAUAAGCGCCAGCAUUGCAUUUGUCUUCUUUACCACAGACUCGGCCUCAGAAUUAACCUUCCAGGAGUCCUGCACGAGGUCUCCCAAGUCGCUCUGCACCUCUUAAUGUUCGAACCUUCUCCCCGAGGCUCCCGCCAAGACCAAAUACGGCCCGCUGAAGGAUGAGGACCGUAUCUUCACCAACCUGUAUGGCAGGCACGACUGGAGGCUGAAGGGAGCGCUACGGCGGGGCGACUGGUACAAGACGAAGGAGAUCCUGCUGAAGGGGGCGGACUGGAUCCUCGGGGAGGUGAAGACGUCUGGGCUGAGGGGUCAGGGAGGGGCCGGGUUUCCAACCGGCAUGAAGUGAGUCUUCGUGAACAAGCCUUCAGAUGGCAGGUCUGGAGGGAGGUUCACUCCGUGUCUGACCCCGGGUGUGUGUGAUGGGACGGUGAGGAGGGAGAUUCGCUCUGUGUCUGACCCCGGGAGUGUGUAAUGGGACGGUGUGUAGGGAGAUUCACACUGUGUCUGACCCCGGGAGUGUGUGAUGGGACGGUGCGGAGGGAGAUUCACUGUGUCUGACCCCGGGAGUGUGUGAUGGGACGGUGUGGAGAGAGAUUCACUCUGUGUCUGACCCCGGGAGUGUGUGAUGGGACGGUGUGGAGGGAGAUUCACUCUGUGUCUGACCCCGGGUGUGUCUGAUGGGACGGUGAGGAGGGUGAUUCACUCUGUGUCUGACCCCGGGAGUGUGUGAUGGGACGGUGUGGAGGGAGAUUCACUCUGUGUCUGACCCCGGGAGUGUGUGAUGGGACGGUGUGGAGGGAGAUUCACUCUGUGUCAGACCCCGGGAGUGUGUGAUGGGAC
This is a long non-coding RNA of Hypanus sabinus (Atlantic stingray), 1592 nucleotides long. RefSeq lists it as uncharacterized. The transcript is spliced from 3 exons. NCBI's taxonomy places the organism in Eukaryota, Metazoa, Chordata, Chondrichthyes, Myliobatiformes, Dasyatidae. The record is from RefSeq and is a predicted model, not a curated record.